CCUGUAAUCUCAGCUACUCGGGAGACUGAGGCAGGAGAAUUGCUUGAACCUGAGAGGCGGAGGUUGGAGUAAGCCGAGAUCACACCACUGCAGUCCAGUCUGGGCAACAGAGCAAGACUCCAUCUCAAAAAAAAAAAAGAGCUGCAUGCAAUAUGAGUCAAGCCACCUAGCCACAUUCCUCUCAAGGGUCAGAAUAAUUUAAAAUUCCAACAGCAGUAAAUUUGAAUUCUUUCACAUACUGAACUGUCAAAAACCCAGUCAUUGUCCGUUCGAGCUCAUCAGCUCAUCAGCUCAGCGGCAGGGCUGGGACAGAUGCCUGGGAUGACAUGAAUUCCUCCUGUCCCUUCUGUCUUUCUUUAAACAAGUCACCAGGGGCCAUAUCCAUGCCCCCUGGUGGCUAAACGGUGUCGUGUCCCUAAAGGCCUCCCGCCUCGAGGCUCUCUCUGACCAGGAAUGUGGAUUUCUUAAUGUGUGGUUUGACCAGCUCCUUCACUGCCAGGCAUAGAUCUUUAGGUAUUGUAAGUGUCCAGUAAGUGCCCGUGAAAGGUCAGGGAUGGGGGCAGAUGGUGGAAGUGAUUCAGAGAAACGAGAAGGAGAAUUUGAUUGAGGUAUGGAGAGGCUUGCACAGGCUGACCAAAGAUAAAAUAUGCCUAUUGAUCUACAGGAAAUCAAAUUAAGAAAAACGGCCGGUGGUGUCUCCGCCUGUAAUCCCAGCACUUUGGGAGGCCGAGGCGGGAGGAUCAUGAGGUCAGGAGAUCAAGACCAUCCUGACUAACACGGUGAAACCCUGUCUCUACUAAAAAUGCAAAAAAUUAGCCAGGUGUGGUGGUGGGCGCCUGUAGUCCCAGCUAUUUGGGAGGCUGAGGCAGGAGAAUGGCGUGAACCUGGGAGGCAGAGCUUGCAGUGAGCUAAUAUCGUGCCACUGCACUCCACCCUGGGCGACAGAGUGAGACUCUGUCUCAAAAAAAAAAGAAAAACAUAGGCCGGGCACGGUGGCUCAUGCCUGUAAUCCCAGCACUUUGGGAGGCUGAGGCAGGCAGAUCACUUAAGGUGAGGAGUUCGAGACUAGCCUGGCCAACAUGGUGAAACCCCUUCUCUACUAAAAAUAGAAAAAUUAGCCAGACAUGAUGGCACACACCUGUAAUCCCACCUACUCGGGAGGCUGAGGCAGGAGAAUUGCUUGAACCCGGGAGGUGGAGGUUGCGGUGAGCCGAGAUCGUGUCACUGCACUCCAGCCUGGGCAGCAAGAGUGAAACUCCUUAUUAAAAAAAAAAAAAAAAAAGCAGCUCGCGUGGAAGGUGCUUCUCUCAGGCACUCAGGGUCACCGGGUGCAGGGCAGGGUGGUCCCGAAUGGCAUGCUGAAGGGCCAGGAUCUCACACCGUGGGCUGCAGAGAGCCACUGAAGGUUUUGUAAGCAGGGAGAGCUGGUGGCUCAGCUGAGCAUAGUCACUGAAGGAACAUUACUCUGAUAGUGGGAGGGGUACACAGAGACUUGUGGGUGACAGGGGCCGGGACUAGUCUAGGUCAUGUGAUGUAUAAGAAGCCUGUGUAGGCUUUAAAAGCAAGACACAAGGGCUGGGAGCAGUGGCUCAUGCCUGUAAUCCCACCACUUUGGCAGGCUGAGGCAGGAGAUCACUUGAGCUCAGGAGUUUGAGACCAGCCUGGGCAACACAGCAAGACCCUGUCUCUUAAAAAAAAAAAAAAAA
This 1706-nucleotide long non-coding RNA is filed under the name Macaca fascicularis (crab-eating macaque). RNAcentral describes it as "lncRNA (ENSMFAG00000051010.1)". Lineage: Eukaryota; Metazoa; Chordata; Mammalia; Primates; Cercopithecidae. The record is from RNAcentral.